Molecule: ribosomal RNA, 337 nt
Filed under: uncultured Anaerolineaceae bacterium
Lineage: Bacteria; Bacillati; Chloroflexota; Anaerolineae; Anaerolineales; Anaerolineaceae
Description: bacterial SSU rRNA
Rfam family: Bacterial small subunit ribosomal RNA
Source: RNAcentral
GUCAGGUGCUGCAUGGCUGUCGUCAGCUCGUGUCGUGAGAUGUUCGGUUAAGUCCGCUAACGAGCGCAACCCUCGCUGUGUGUUACAAGUGUCACACGGAACUGCCGGUCAUAAACCGGAGGAAGGUGGGGAUGACGUCAAGUCAGCAUGGCCUUUAUAUCCUGGGCUACACACACGCUACAAUGGGAAGGGACAAUAGGUUGCGAAGCCGCGAGGCGGAGCCAAUCCAGCAAAACUUCCCUCAGUUCAGAUUGCAGGCUGCAACUCGCCUGCAUGAAGUUGGAGUUGCUAGUAAACGCAGGUCAGCCAUACUGCGUUGAAUACGUUCCCGGGGCUU